GACGGACGCUGGCGGCGUGCUUAACACAUGCCAGUCGAGCGGUAAGGCCCUUCGGGGUCCACGAGCGGCGAACGGGUGAGUAACACGUGAGUAAUCUGCCCAUCACUUCGGGAUAACUCCGGGAAACCGGUGCUAAUACCGAAUAUGACCACUUCAGGCAUCUGAUGGUGGUGGAAAGUUCCGGCGGUGAUGGAUGAGCUCGCGGCCUAUCAGCUUGUUGGUGGGGUAGUGGCCUACCAAGGCUUCGACGGGUAGCCGGCCUGAGAGGGUGACCGGCCACACUGGGACUGAGACACGGCCCAGACUCCUACGGGAGGCAGCAGUGGGGAAUAUUGGACAAUGGGCGAAAGCCUGAUCCAGCAACGCCGCGUGAGGGAUGACGGCCUUCGGGUUGUAAACCUCUUUCAGCAGGGACGAAGCGCAAGUGACGGUACCUGCAGAAGAAGCACCGGCCAACUACGU
RNAcentral lists this ribosomal RNA (462 nucleotides) under uncultured bacterium. RNAcentral's name for it is "partial 16S ribosomal RNA". It matches the Rfam family "Bacterial small subunit ribosomal RNA", at positions 28 to 506 of the family's 1533-position model. The record is from RNAcentral.